AUACCAGACUCCUACGGGAGGCAGCAGUGGGGGAUAUUGCACAAUGGGGGCAACCCUGAUGCAGCGACGCCGCGUGAGCGAUGGAGUACUUCGGUAUGUAAAUCUCUGUCAGCAGGGAAGAGAAUGACGGUACCUGACCAAGAAGCCCCGGCUAAAUACGUGCCAGCAGCCGCGGUAAUACGUAGGGGGCAAGCGUUAUCCGGAUUUACUGGGUGUAAAGGGGGCGCAGACGGCAGCGCAAGCCAGGAGUGAAAGCCCGGGGCCCCACCCCGGGACUGCUCUUGGAACUGCGCGGCUGGAGUGCAGGAGGGGCAGGCGGAAUUCCUGGUGUAGCGGUGAAAUGCGUAGAUAUCAGGAGGAACACCGGUGGCGAAGGCGGCCUGCUGGACUGCGACUGACGUUGAGGCCCGAAAGCGUGGGGAGCAAACAGGAUUAGAUACCCGAGUA
Molecule: ribosomal RNA, 447 nt
Filed under: uncultured bacterium
Lineage: Bacteria
Description: partial 16S ribosomal RNA
Rfam family: Bacterial small subunit ribosomal RNA
Source: RNAcentral